This 294-nucleotide long non-coding RNA is filed under the name Carica papaya (papaya). Its description in RNAcentral is "long non-coding RNA (CPAP_LNC003115)". The record is from RNAcentral. Lineage: Eukaryota; Viridiplantae; Streptophyta; Magnoliopsida; Brassicales; Caricaceae.
UUCUAGCACCUAGACAUACGAGCUGGGUCUUAACAUCGCAAUGCAGCCAUAGAUAUUGGCACGAAGACCCUUAAGAAACUUCCUAACCUUACAACUCUCAGGGGUGACCAUAAGCAGGGCAAACCUAGACAUCUGGAUGAAUCGUGUUGUAUACUAGGCAACGAUCAAAUUUUCCUGCGGGAGGUCCUAAAAUUCCUUCUCCUUCUUCUCUCGGACAUAGACAGGGAUGAAGUUUUCAAAGAACACAUCCAUUAAAACCUCCCAAGUAGUAGGAGUAGGUAGGACUUCCUUUUU